GGGGCGCUGCGGCGGGGGCGCUGCGGCGGGGACGCGUCCAGCGGCCGCAGAACGGGACCUCGCGCCUCCGCCUGACGUGCGGCCCACUCAGGGGACUGGGAUGGGGCCGGCGCGGCUGGGGAGGCCCUUCCCGGCCCGGUAACGCAGCAGGGAGCGGGCGUCGCUGGUUUUCCCGCGCGGUGUUGGCGCAGCUUGCCUUCUGCAGGGGCGCGUUGGCUGCCUGGGCGCAUUCAGCCCCGAACGAUGGACCGCUGCGCUUGGCGCGGCACGGCUGUUGGCUGCCCGGUGUCCGCGGCCACCCUGGGCGCUGCCGGGCUGCACCUGGCGCUCCCGGCGUUUCGGUUAUCGGGAUCUGCGGAAACCAGCACAUCGCGGGGAAAACUAACAACCUCCACCCAGACAUGAUGAUAUUAACUGAUAUUACGAUACGUGAUAUUAAAUGGCGAUCCAAACAACAAGUAAAACAGUGCCGCAUACAUGGUCACACCGUUUCACAGAAACCCCGGCAUACGGCUGUGUUUCCUCUCCGAGUAUUUCAACACCCUCGGUACAAGACGAUGGUACCGAAAAUGCUGUUAGCUGUAACACAGUCACGCGCAAAUACGUUUGAAAAGCAAACAGUGGGUUUACUGUAGGUCACACGACUUGGGUAUUGGUGUUUGUUGGAUCAUGACAGUAUGUUGAUGGAAAUGUUUUUCUGUUUAAUUUCCUUGAUUGUUUGAAAUUAGUAUUUGAUAACCUAUUGUGUACACAAUAUGCCAUUUUAACUGUCCUGGAGCCUGGAGUUCUGCUCAGCCACAAAACGGCACACAAAGCUGACAGCAGGGUGGAUUUCUACAUGCUGCUCACCUUAUGCUCCUUAAUUGUGUUCCACAGAGACAAUGUCUAAAACAGAGGUAGUUUUAUCUUCAUGCCUGUUUAAUCCCUGGCUCCUCUGCUGGGACUGCCACCAGCUCAGGUGGGAUAGUUAUUAUGAUAUCAUUUUAUUAUGGUAAUCUGUUUACUGAGAGAUGAAAAAAAUGCUAAAAAAUGCCAUUUUACAUGAGCCAUUGAACAGCAAAGGAAAAUGUUAUGUCAGGUUAGUGAUGACCUGCCACUGAUUUUAGCAUACAACUAGAUGUGAAAAGUCCUUUAAACUCUAACCAGUCCCUGAAAGUAACUCCAGUUGAUAUUUCCUGUUCAGGACCAUCAUUUGCUUCAUCCAGUUUCUUACAGGGCUUUGGAUGAAGAAGCUUUAAUCUUUAGGAGCAAAACAUACUGUUGAUCACAUUUGUAAUCCACUACAUUUAACAAUACUGUUCUUUAUUUAAAACUUCUUCUCUGUGUAUGGGAAUUGUGUGUUCAAGUAUCCAAUUUGUAUGCAGAUACAGAAAAUAAGCAUGCAUUUUUACUAGGGUAAUAAUACUUGCUCAUUGUUUCUUUACUUUUCUACAAAUCUCUCUAUUUUCACAUACAGCCUUCUUUGGAGACUACAUCUAUGGCUAGGAUUAAAUAAUUAAACUAAAUUAAAUGCAACCAUCAGAGUCUGUAAAACAAAAUUAUAUAUGUAUAUGUAUUUCCCAAAACAUUAAAUCACUUCCAUUUCUUCUCAUUCAGAUAAGCCAUUUUUCUUCAAAUGAGUCAGCGUUGGACUAAGGCCAAUAUGAGAACUUCACCCCCACUCACAACAGAUUUUUAAUUUCUCACUGUAGUGCACUACAUUGGUGCUAUAAUAAAAUUACUGAUUUUUUUAUCUCAUGCGAACAAUUGAUCAUUCCUAAUAUGCAGUAAUGUAUCCUUACCAUAAUUAAUGGGAAUGGCUGUCUGUGACUGAUGUCUUCCAUCAUGAACUCUUCCAGGCACCUCUUUUAUGCAUGAAUUAUCACAACUUUUUAAACGUGAAAAUGUUCUGUGGCAAUGUUUACUGCAGAUUGCCCAACGCAUUUGUUAAUGCAGCAGGGUGAUAGAUGGGUGUGGGAAAUUUAUAGCAACUGUUGCUCCCAUGGUUAAUCUACGGUAGUAAUGUUAGUUUCAGUCUGAGAUACUAUUUCACUUACCGUUUUAGCCAUCAAAAAUGAAAGCCUAGUCAAAGACUACUGAAACUUUAGCUAGCUAGCUAGAUCACAGCUCCUGAAGAUGUUAUACAGACAAGAUACAACUAUCUAUACAAAUUAAGAAAAUACUAGGAGUUAUCCCAGGGAUUUAAAAGUGCUAUAAAUAUCAAGAGAGUAUUUCGAUUACAGCUUCAACAGAGUCCCCAGCAACGUUAAUUCCCAGUGUUGGUAUCCCAGUUACCAAAUAAUUACAGAUUAAGUGCACAAAGUAAAAAACACAGAGUUAGAUAAUGAGUCUUUCAAGUGAGGCCAUGCAACUGAUCCUACUGAAAAUUUAAACCAUGAUUUCACAGCAGACACCAAGUCCAAACUCCUCUCGUUCAAACUUCUAUUUUUAUAUUUGAACAGGAAUGCUCAUAAAUACUGCAACAACACGCAGCUAAACUGAAAGAACAGUCGGUGAAACAGCCACCUCUGUUUGUCCCUUUCAGGAGUUCAGUGGUCUAAACAAAGUAUAUACAGUUUUUCACAGUAACAGGGUUUAAUUGCUGCUUUUCCCUGUUAAUACUGUUGUUCAUUACAUUUGUGCAUUUCCACUUUUCCAAGAGCUAGACUGAAAGGCCCCCCGGCUAAGUGCUUCUGCUUAUUAAAUGCUCAAGUAGUGACUUGAAUGGUGGAUUGUAUCUUGAUUUGAAUUGGGACUUCUGGACACCAUUACAAUAUAAAUAUUAAAUAAUAAUUACUGAAAGUAAUAGCUACCUGAAAGACAUAAAGAGACAAUAAGUAAUCUUUCCUUUAACAAGUAUAUAUUGGAGUUUAUUUUAGAUACUCCAUAAUUUAAAUUUGCACAUGAUCUGUCCAGAAUGUCUUACUGUAACAUUGUCUGAAUUGAUCUGAUUCACAGCUGGAUUACACUACAUUUACGCUGGUGAAAUCAACACAAAACUGAUUUCAUUCAGUGGCAAUUAAGUCUUAGAAGUAUAUUGUUAUGAAUUCCUAAAUGCAUAAUGCCUAUCUGGUACACUUAAAGACAAGCUAAGUAAACAACCUCUGCUUGGUCUAACGGUGAUACAAUCCCAAAUUUACACUGGUUAAAUGUUGCAUUACACCAUUUAUGGUUAUGAAGAAGUUUUUUCCUGUAUUUGGUUGUCUUAUUUUUCAAACAGUAAACAAAAGUAAUGAAAGUAAAUCUGUUGUGUGACUAAGUUUUGGAGUAUUAUGCAAGUACCAAUAGAAAACCUUUGUAACACCACAACGUAUUUUGUAUAUGCUGUGUUCUAGAAAUGAUUAGGAAUGUUUUAGAGUUAUUUUUAAGCAUUUUAUUGUGUCUUUUUGUUUGUAUUUCUUUUCCUUGGUUACCAUGGGUGAGCUCCUGGACUCUGAGGAACAUUUGGCUGAACCUUUCACAUGGAGGAGAAAAGACAAAAAGGUCCUGCAGAUCUCCUUCUGGCCACACUGAGUUAACAAAGAGUUAAACAUGAAGUCUGCAGAAAGAGCCAACUAUGAAGUUGCCUAAAACAAGCCAUGCACUCAGUAUUUUGCCUAUGUACCGACAGUGGUUUUGGACUGCCUUUGAUAAGGUUCUUGGAUCCAAAAAGGGUAACAGUGAGUGCAGCUGAGGAUACUUGUGUCUGGAAACCAACCAUAAAAGAACACUGUACAGCUUCUAAUCAGAUCUGGCAUAGCUUUCCUAUAGAAAAUCAGUCAUGCUAGCUCUAUAGUAGCUCUCUACUGGUUAUAUUGCUUUGCUAAGGUUAAUAAUUAGUGCUGCACCCUGCAGGAAAACCAUCACUCCUCACUCUCUCUCCACUUAUAGGAAAGACGAAUUUCUGUGGCAACUUUGUUUAAAAUUGGUUAUGGUGGGUUUUUUAAGCUAGUGAAAACCAGACAGAAUGUGUUCUGGCAUAACAAGCUGGUGAGCAGGUCAUGUGUAGACACUGUAAAUGUUAUCACAAAUAUCAUUCCAAAAUUAUUCUCUAUAGGCACAUUUAUGAUUAUAUCAGUUAUGCUAACCAUUAAAUAAAUCCAGAUUUCUCUAA
This is a long non-coding RNA of Falco peregrinus (peregrine falcon), 4072 nucleotides long. RefSeq lists it as uncharacterized. The record is from RefSeq and is a predicted model, not a curated record. NCBI's taxonomy places the organism in Eukaryota, Metazoa, Chordata, Aves, Falconiformes, Falconidae. The transcript is spliced from 2 exons.